RNAcentral lists this ribosomal RNA (465 nucleotides) under uncultured bacterium. RNAcentral describes it as "partial 16S ribosomal RNA". It matches the Rfam family "Bacterial small subunit ribosomal RNA", at positions 28 to 507 of the family's 1533-position model. The record is from RNAcentral.
GACGAACGCUGGCGGCGUGCUUAACACAUGCAAGUCGUACGGUAAGGCCCUUUCGGGGGUACACGAGUGGCGAACGGGUGCGUAACACGUGAGUAACCUUCCCACAACUUUGGGAUAACGCUAGGAAACUGGUGCUAAUACUGGAUAUGUGCUCCUGCUGCAUGGGGGGGGUUGGAAAGCUCCGGCGGUUGUGGAUGGAUUCGCGGGCUAUCGGCUUGUUGGAGGGGUAGUGGCCUACCAAGGCGGCUACGGGUAGCCGGCCUGAGGGGGUGACCGGCCACAUUGGGACUGAGAGACGGCCCAGACUCCGACGGGAGGCAGCAGUGGGGAAUAUUGCACAAGGGGCGCAAGCCGGAUGCAGCAACGCCGCGUGCGGGAUGACGGCCUUCGGGUUGUAAACCGCUUUCAGCAGGGACGAAGCUUUUUGUGACGGUACCUGCAGAAGAAGCACCGGCUAACUACGUG